GAUGUGGUGCAUUCUGGGGUCCAAUGGCUGUAUUACAUUAUGGGAGCCUAAAGAGCCAUGACCAAAAGUCCAAGGGCUGCAGGACACUGCCUGCCAGACAUGACAACAAUGACAGAAUAUGCAGUGUCCUGGGUGAUAUUUAGAAAACUUCUGCGGACGGAACUCGCUAGGGACAGCAACCAGCCCACAGCCCAGUGAUGAGGAAUAGAGAAGUGCACUGAAAAUACCUACCCCCCUUUUUUUUUUUUACAUUUGUAUAUAUGUUUUAUAUUGUUAAGUUAAGCUUCUGAGCUGCAGCAUUUUCAGUAAAGUUUUAUUUUUGCUCUAUA
This is a long non-coding RNA of Alligator sinensis (Chinese alligator), 329 nucleotides long. RefSeq lists it as uncharacterized. The record is from RefSeq and is a predicted model, not a curated record. The transcript is spliced from 3 exons. Lineage: Eukaryota; Metazoa; Chordata; Crocodylia; Alligatoridae.